GCGGGUGUGUUGUAGUGGUAACAAGGAACUUUCCCAAAGUUCAGUCACGGGUCCGAUUCCCGUCACCCGCU
RNAcentral lists this transfer RNA (71 nucleotides) under Chloroflexota bacterium. RNAcentral's name for it is "tRNA-Gly". It matches the Rfam family "tRNA". From Rfam's summary of the family: Transfer RNA (tRNA) molecules are approximately 80 nucleotides in length. Their secondary structure includes four short double-helical elements and three loops (D, anti-codon, and T loops). Further hydrogen bonds mediate the characteristic L-shaped molecular structure. tRNAs have two regions of fundamental functional importance: the anti-codon, which is responsible for specific mRNA codon recognition, and the 3' end, to which the tRNAs corresponding amino acid is attached (by aminoacyl-tRNA synthetases). tRNAs cope with the degeneracy of the genetic code in two manners: having more than one tRNA (with a specific anti-codon) for a particular amino acid; and 'wobble' base-pairing, i.e. permitting non-standard base-pairing at the 3rd anti-codon position. Lineage: Bacteria; Bacillati; Chloroflexota. RNAcentral also lists the same sequence under 1 other name. The record is from RNAcentral.